Molecule: unclassified non-coding RNA, 870 nt
Filed under: Manduca sexta (tobacco hornworm)
Lineage: Eukaryota; Metazoa; Arthropoda; Insecta; Lepidoptera; Sphingidae
Description: uncharacterized LOC119189021, transcript variant X1
Source: RNAcentral
UCUUGACGUAAGUGAAGACGCUAUUUCAAGAAAUUUGAAGUGCUAAUUCAUUAAAAUAUGUACGCUUUCAUGACUGUGCCUCAACUUAAAGUUGAGGUUCGUAAAAGAAAUGCGUCAAUUGCCGGAAAAAAAGGCUAAUUUGAUAGAAAGAUUGCAAUCUAAUGACCGGAAUAAAAAUUUUGGUGUUGACUGCGAGAUCCAAGAGGAGAUCGCAUAUCUGAGUCCAGCCACUGAUACUUUCAGAGACAUAAUUGCGGACACUUCUUUACCAAUGAUUACGAGACAAGCAAUACAGGAAUAUUUUGAAAGUUAUGUACCCAUAUGUAAUGAUUAUAAUCUUAGGCAGUUGUUUACAAAGAUGACAGUGUAAAUUUUAUGUAUUUAAAUUGAUAUAAUACUCAGCAUAAAGGACAACUCCUGUACGAAUUUCGACAUCUUGUGACUGCCCGCUAUUCCACAGAUGGCAUUUAUACCCACUUGCGAGGACAAUGUAAAGCCAGUAUGAAAAAAAUGACAUGUGAACCCGCAAAUCCACAUGGCAUUGAAUGGGAUCGUUACACCUAUGUAGAUAGGACUCCAAUAGAUAUUUUACUAGAGAAGCUAUUAUUAAAAAAAUAUUAUAUCUGAACAAAUUCAGGAAGUGAGAAGAAUACAAGAGCCCAAAGUGAUUCCUCUGAGUGGCAUGAAAGAUCAUGCAGGAUUACUGCCAGUAUGUUUCAUUUAGUGUGCCACAGUAAAGCAUAUAAGUACCAAAAAUAUAUGUAAUCGAUAUGAUUUUGGCCCCUAAAGCUGUGCAGACUAUGUUAGUUGUGCAUAGUAAAAUCCAAGAAACUAUUUCCAUUGCCAAAUAUGAUAGAGAUUAUGGACUAA